This 925-nucleotide ribosomal RNA is filed under the name uncultured bacterium. RNAcentral describes it as "bacterial SSU rRNA". It matches the Rfam family "Bacterial small subunit ribosomal RNA", at positions 33 to 949 of the family's 1533-position model. The record is from RNAcentral.
ACGCUAGCUACAGGCUUAACACAUGCAAGUCGAGGGGAAACGGCAUUAAGUGCUUGCACUUUUUGGACGUCGACCGGCGCACGGGUGAGUAACGCGUAUCCAACCUUCCCAUGACUAAGGGAUAACCUGCCGAAAGGCAGACUAAUACCUUAUGGCCUUCACCGACGGCAUCAGAUGUGAAGUAAAGAUUUAUCGGUCAUGGAUGGGGAUGCGUCUGAUUAGCUUGUUGGCGGGGUAACGGCCCACCAAGGCGACGAUCAGUAGGGGUUCUGAGAGGAAGGUCCCCCACAUUGGAACUGAGACACGGUCCAAACUCCUACGGGAGGCAGCAGUGAGGAAUAUUGGUCAAUGGGCGAGAGCCUGAACCAGCCAAGUAGCGUGCAGGAUGACGGCCCUAUGGGCUGUAAACUGCUUUUGUAUGGGGAUAAAGUCAAUCACGUGUGAUUGUUUGCAGGUACCAUACGAAUAAGGACCGGCUAAUUCCGUGCCAGCAGCCGCGGUAAUACGGAAGGUCCGGGCGUUAUCCGGAUUUAUUGGGUUUAAAGGGAGCGUAGGCUGGAGAUUGAGUGUGUUGUGAAAUGUAGACGCUCAACGUCUGACUUGCAGCGCAUACUGGUUUCCUUGAGUACGCACAACGUUGGCGGAAUUCGUCGUGUAGCGGUGAAAUGCUUAGAUAUGACGAAGAACUCCGAUUGCGAAGGCAGCUGACGGGAGCGCAACUGACGCUGAAGCUCGAAGGUGCGGGUAUCGAACAGGAUUAGAUACCCUGGUAGUCCGCACAGUAAACGAUGGAUGCCCGCUGUUGGUACCUGGUAUCAGCGGCUAAGCAAAAGCAUUAAGCAUCCCACCUGGGGAGUACGCCGGCAACGGUGAAACUCAAAGGAAUUGACGGGGGCCCGCACAAGCGGAGGAACAUGUGGUUUAA